RNAcentral lists this ribosomal RNA (301 nucleotides) under uncultured bacterium. Its description in RNAcentral is "partial 16S ribosomal RNA". It matches the Rfam family "Bacterial small subunit ribosomal RNA", at positions 509 to 807 of the family's 1533-position model. The record is from RNAcentral.
CAGUAGCCGCGGUAAUACCGAUGGUGCAAGCGUUAAUCGGAAUUACUGGGCGUAAAGCGCGCGUAGGUGGUUUGUUAAGUUGGAUGUGAAAGCCCCGGGCUCAACCUGGGAACUGCAUCCAAAACUGGCAAGCUAGAGUACGGUAGAGGGUGGUGGAAUUUCCUGUGUAGCGGUGAAAUGCGUAGAUAUAGGAAGGAACACCAGUGGCGAAGGCGACCACCUGGACUGAUACUGACACUGAGGUGCGAAAGCGUGGGGAGCAAACAGGAUUAGAUACCCGUGUAGUCCCUGUCUCUUAUAC